This 253-nucleotide ribosomal RNA is filed under the name uncultured Bacteroides sp. RNAcentral describes it as "partial 16S ribosomal RNA". It matches the Rfam family "Bacterial small subunit ribosomal RNA", at positions 524 to 776 of the family's 1533-position model. The record is from RNAcentral. Lineage: Bacteria; Pseudomonadati; Bacteroidota; Bacteroidia; Bacteroidales; Bacteroidaceae.
UACGGAGGAUCCGAGCGUUAUCCGGAUUUAUUGGGUUUAAAGGGAGCGUAGGUGGAUUGUUAAGUCAGUUGUGAAAGUUUGCGGCUCAACCGUAAAAUUGCAGUUGAAACUGGCAGUCUUGAGUACAGUAGAGGUGGGCGGAAUUCGUGGUGUAGCGGUGAAAUGCUUAGAUAUAACUUAGAACUCCGAUAGCGAAGGCAGCUUACCAGACUGCGACUGACGCUGAAGCACGAGAGCGUGGGUAGCGAACAGG